RNAcentral lists this long non-coding RNA (300 nucleotides) under Homo sapiens (human). RNAcentral's name for it is "non-protein coding lnc-EVX1-14:8". The record is from RNAcentral. Lineage: Eukaryota; Metazoa; Chordata; Mammalia; Primates; Hominidae.
GUUUCUUUGCCUCCUGCAGUCUGUGCCUUCCACCAUGAUCAUGAGGCUUCCCCAGCCACACAGAACUAUUAUGAAGCAAUUUCCUACCUGUUUUUUUAUUUGAUCCAUGAACUUUUCAAGAGAUGUGUGCUAUUGCUGUUGUGACCAUUAGCUCCCAUUUCUCAGAUGAGGAAACUGAGGCUCAGUGAGCCUUAAAUGACUUGCCCAAAACUAUAAGAUGGAAAUCUCUGCCCAUAAAAAUCUUCCACAGUAAACAGACACUGAUGCAAACACACUGGGCUUCCUUCUAUUACCUCAUCA